RNAcentral lists this ribosomal RNA (404 nucleotides) under uncultured Streptococcus sp. Its description in RNAcentral is "bacterial SSU rRNA". It matches the Rfam family "Bacterial small subunit ribosomal RNA", at positions 976 to 1382 of the family's 1533-position model. The record is from RNAcentral. Lineage: Bacteria; Bacillati; Bacillota; Bacilli; Lactobacillales; Streptococcaceae.
AGGUCUUGACAUCCGAUGCUAUUUCUAGAGAUAGAAAGUUACUUCGGUACAUCGGUGACAGGUGGUGCAUGGUUGUCGUCAGCUCGUGUCGUGAGAUGUUGGGUUAAGUCCCGCAACGAGCGCAACCCCUAUUGUUAGUUGCCAUCAUUCAGUUGGGCACUCUAGCGAGACUGCCGGUAAUAAACCGGAGGAAGGUGGGGAUGACGUCAAAUCAUCAUGCCCCUUAUGACCUGGGCUACACACGUGCUACAAUGGUUGGUACAACGAGUUGCGAGUCGGUGACGGCGAGCUAAUCUCUUAAAGCCAAUCUCAGUUCGGAUUGUAGGCUGCAACUCGCCUACAUGAAGUCGGAAUCGCUAGUAAUCGCGGAUCAGCACGCCGCGGUGAAUACGUUCCCGGGCCUU